UUUUUUUCAAAAAUUAAAAUAGGUCAUUUUUAGAGAGAGAAAUGGAAAGCGCGUCCAAUUGGGUGUGCUUUCCGUUUCUCUCUCCCAAGGUUAGGGUUUUCUUUUUAUGAGGGAAAAGUUAGGGUUUUUAAUAUUUUUAAGUUUAGGGUUUUUGGGGUUUAGGGUUUUUAACAGAGUUUUGAGCUUUUGAUUGGAAUUGCGAAAUUUCAUAAGUAGUUCUGAGGAGUCGCAGAUAUAAUAACGCGGCUCAUAACACAUACAUUUCAUAUAUCAUGG
Molecule: long non-coding RNA, 276 nt
Filed under: Gossypium raimondii (Peruvian cotton)
Lineage: Eukaryota; Viridiplantae; Streptophyta; Magnoliopsida; Malvales; Malvaceae
Description: long non-coding RNA (GRAI_LNC003832)
Source: RNAcentral